UGGGGAAUAUUGCACAAUGGGCGCAAGCCUGAUGCAGCCAUGCCGCGUGUAUGAAGAAGGCCUUCGGGUUGUAAAGUACUUUCAGUCGGGAGGAAGGUGGUAAGGUUAAUAACCUUGGCAAUUGACGUUACCGACAGAAGAAGCACCGGCUAACUCCGUGCCAGCAGCCGCGGUAAUACGGAGGGUGCAAGCGUUAAUCGGAAUUACUGGGCGUAAAGCGCACGCAGGCGGUUGAUUGAGUCAGAUGUGAAAUCCCCGGGCUUAACCCGGGAAUGGCAUCUGAUACUGGUCGGCUAGAGUCUUGUGGAGGGGGGAGGAAUUCCAGGUGUGGCGGGGAAAUGCGAGGAGAUGUGAGGAAUACCGGUGGCGAAGGCGGCCCCCUGGACAAAGACUGACGCUCAGGUGCGAAAGCGUGGGGAGCAAACAGG
RNAcentral lists this ribosomal RNA (428 nucleotides) under Chloroflexota bacterium. Its description in RNAcentral is "Chloroflexi bacterium partial 16S ribosomal RNA". It matches the Rfam family "Bacterial small subunit ribosomal RNA", at positions 355 to 776 of the family's 1533-position model. Lineage: Bacteria; Bacillati; Chloroflexota. The record is from RNAcentral.